Molecule: ribosomal RNA, 372 nt
Filed under: uncultured organism
Description: partial 16S ribosomal RNA
Rfam family: Bacterial small subunit ribosomal RNA
Source: RNAcentral
GUAGGUGGCAAGCGUUGUCCGGAAUUAUUGGGCGUAAAGCGCGCGCAGGCGGUUCUUUAAGUCUGAUGUGAAAGCCCACGGCUCAACCGUGGAGGGUCAUUGGAAACUGGAGAACUUGAGUACAGAAGAGGAAAGCGGAAUUCCACGUGUAGCGGUGAAAUGCGUAGAGAUGUGGAGGAACACCAGUGGCGAAGUCGGCUUUCUGGUCUGUAACUGACGCUGAGGCGCGAAAGCGUGGGGAGCAAACAGGGAUUAGAUACCCUGGUAGUCCACGCCGUAAACGAUGAGUGCUAAGUGUUAGGGGGUUUCCGCCCCCUUAGUGCUGCAGCUAACGCAUUAAGCACUCCGCCUGGGGAUACGGCCGCAAGGCUG